GUUUUGACUUUUUUUUUUUUGGGGGGGGGGGGGGGUAGGACAUAUUUUUGCAUUUCUAUAUAUCAAGUUAUCAACUAACUCGGCUUAGAUGCUCCUCAGUUUGAACUUUCCCCUCCUUUUUUGGGGAAAAUUUUCCAUUGAAUUGCUCAGAACACCAGUUUAUUA
This is a long non-coding RNA of Telopea speciosissima, 165 nucleotides long. RefSeq lists it as uncharacterized. The transcript has 2 exons. Lineage: Eukaryota; Viridiplantae; Streptophyta; Magnoliopsida; Proteales; Proteaceae. The record is from RefSeq and is a predicted model, not a curated record.